Molecule: long non-coding RNA, 1804 nt
Organism: Brassica napus (rape)
Lineage: Eukaryota; Viridiplantae; Streptophyta; Magnoliopsida; Brassicales; Brassicaceae
Exons: 7
Source: RefSeq, a predicted model, not a curated record
GGAAUUGAUCCAAACAAAAUAAAGAGCAACUCGAUAUGUAAUGAAACGCAACGUUUUUGAUUUAGGGAUUAAACCAUUCUUCGUCUCCGCCAUACGAAAGCUAAACUCGAUCUAUGGUUUCGAAAGAGUUCUUUCAUCUUCUUCCUAAAAAUUCUGAGAGUCAAUCAGUUACAGGUUCAUCUUCUUAAAGUCGUUGCUUAAAUCCAUGACCCACAAUCUCUCUUCAAUGCGAUCAUUAAUAUGGGAGGCGGUGGAAUUGCGACUAUAAAAAAAUCGGACACUGCUCCUCCACCUUAAAGUGCGGUUUCUCCGUUAUUGGGAGGCUAGAAACGUCCGACGCGGUGGAGAACUCAUGGGAGUCGAUAUGUUGCGACUUGAUUCCCAGCUGAGACUUAACGAAGAAGAAGAAGAAGAAAAAUAAGAGUAAAAGCAUGAAGACGACCCAACAAUCCCUGUCGUUAAGCUAUUUCCAUCUGGAGAGUUUCCUGAAGGUGAAAUCCAACAGUAUAAGGACAAGGAAGUUUCAUACAACUCUAUUUAGCUUUAAGGGAAUAUUUUUAAUACGUUUUAGUAUGCAAUAUGCGUGUCGAUAUAGUCCAUACAGCUUUUGUUUUUGCUUCUGUUGAACUUUAUUAGAUUUUAAGACUAUGGAUCUUGAUCUCUGUAAUGUAGCAAUUUGUGGAGAACAACAUCUGAAGAGGAGAGAGAUUUGGAGCGUUUGGACAAAAGCCAAUAUACAACUCUGUACGCCAGGCUGCAGAAGUUCAUAGCCAGGUUAGAAAAUAUGUAAGAAGCAUAGUGAAGCCUGGAAUGUUGACGACUGAUGUAUGCGAGACACUUGAGGAUACUGUUCGUAAACUUAUAUCAGAGAAUGGUCUGAAAGCUGGUAUUACUUUCCCUACAGGAUGCUCUUUGAAUUGGGUUGCUGCUCAUUGGACACCAAACUCCGGAGACAAGACUGUACUUCAAUACGACGAUGUUAUGAAAGUGGAUUUUGCAACACAUAUUGAUGGGGACAUCUUUCUGUAUGUGGGCUAUAUUAUAUUCUCAUACUGCGCCUUUUGUUUUUUUCCUGUUUAAUUUAGUGGUUAGUGGUGGGAACUAUUUUCUAAGGUAUCAUUGCAGUUUUCUAAAAUCUGCUAGCCAUAUUUAUCUUACGAGAGUUGGUAAAUUUAGACAUUAACAAUUACUGGCAGGAAUUGUUCAAAAAAAAAAAUUACCGGCAGAUAUACACUGAGUAGAAUCAUAAUUUUUGUCAUGUACACUCUCUUUUGUUCGAGGAACGAUAUUUUUCUCUUAGAGGAGCUGAUGACAUAUACUAUGUCAUUUUUGGGGUCUUUGCUAAUAAUUUUGAGUGCCUGUUUUAGUGGGUAAUGUUUUUUUUUUAGAAAUGGCUUUCAGUUCACCCAAAGCUCAUGGAAGAACCUUUAGAUGUUGCUGAAUGAUGAUUCAUAUAAUUCACCGGUGGGUCUAGACAGAAACGGAAUUGUCCUUCUGCUAUGGGAGAAUGGUACUUUAUGUGGCUCCAUAAGCCCUGACGAAUUGCUUUCUUAUGUGUCCCUUUUUUCUAAAGAGCAUCCCAGUUAAAGGCUUCUCUGAUCCAGCUCCAAUAAAAGCUCUCAGUUACACACAAUGUGUGCGCCCUAAGAAGUAAGGAAGCUGCGGUAGUUGUGUUUUGGAGUUUAAGCUAAUUCUUUUAUUUACUUGGAUAUCAGAUUUUCAAAGCUUUUGUUCACAAUAUAAUUUCUUUUUUGUUAUAUCAAUUUCCAAAAAUAAUGGCUAUAGCUAAAUAUAUCUUCUCAAA